UUUGUACAUUACUCGGCAACUGUUCUCCAUUAUAUGUCCAAACCCAGUAAUUUUUAAUGAAACCCCUUCUCUUCAAAUGACGUUCUACUUCCUCCGGGUCACUAAUUAUAGGUCUACAUUCACAUUUUAGACAAGGACAUCUUACUCCUCCUUCGCUUAGACAACAUUCUUGAGCGAAAGCCCAUGUGAUAAACCCUUUAACUCCUUCCUCAAAGUUCGGUUUAAGUCCACGUCUUCCUGGAUACGUUCUAUCGUACAUCCAACUACGAUAGUAAUGAAAAUAUUCCAUACUGCACAUUUACAAAAUCGUUACUAUUUAAUUUCAAA
Molecule: long non-coding RNA, 327 nt
Filed under: Lathyrus oleraceus (garden pea)
Lineage: Eukaryota; Viridiplantae; Streptophyta; Magnoliopsida; Fabales; Fabaceae
Description: Pisum sativum (pea) long non-coding RNA (PSAT_LNC029217)
Source: RNAcentral